This 497-nucleotide ribosomal RNA is filed under the name uncultured bacterium. Its description in RNAcentral is "partial 16S ribosomal RNA". It matches the Rfam family "Bacterial small subunit ribosomal RNA", at positions 30 to 523 of the family's 1533-position model. The record is from RNAcentral.
AUUGAACGCUGGCGGCAGGCCUAACACAUGCAAGUCGAGCGUGAAAGUCCUUCGGGAUGAGUAAAGCGGCGGACGGGUGAGUAACGCGUAGGAAUCUACCUGAUAGUGGGGGAUAACGUCCCGAAAGGGGCGCUAAUACCGCAUACGUUCUGAGGAAGAAAGCAGGGGAUCGCAAGACCCUGCGCUAUCAGAUGAGCCUGCGUCCGAUUAGCUAGUUGGUGGGGUAAAGGCCUACCAAGGCGACGAUCGGUAACUGGUCUGAGAGGAUGAUCAGUCACACUGGAACUGAGACACGGUCCAGACUCCUACGGGAGGCAGCAGUGGGGAAUAUUGGACAAUGGGGGCAACCCUGAUCCAGCCAUGCCGCGUGUGUGAAGAAGGCCUUCGGGUUGUAAAGCACUUUAAGCGGGGAGGAAGGCUCGGCAGCUAAUACCUGUCGGGAUUGACGUUACCCGCAGAAUAAGCACCGGCAAACUUCGUGCCAGCCGCCGCCGUAA